AGCUGCGUGGUGAGCACAAAGCGAACUAUUCUUUCGCCUUUUACUAAAGAAUACCGUGUGCUCGCCACAACAAGCAGCAUACACCAAUUUUUUGAGGGAUCCCUCUCUAUGUGAGAGAGG
Molecule: non-coding RNA, 120 nt
Organism: Dichanthelium oligosanthes
Lineage: Eukaryota; Viridiplantae; Streptophyta; Magnoliopsida; Poales; Poaceae
Source: Rfam